RNAcentral lists this ribosomal RNA (406 nucleotides) under uncultured bacterium. Its description in RNAcentral is "partial 16S ribosomal RNA". It matches the Rfam family "Bacterial small subunit ribosomal RNA", at positions 30 to 526 of the family's 1533-position model. The record is from RNAcentral.
AUUGAACGCUGGCGGCAGGCCUAACACAUGCAAGUCGAACGAGUGGCGGACGGGUGAGUAAUGUCUGGGAAACUGCCUGAUGGAGGGGGAUAACUACUGGAAAAGGUAGCUAAUACCGCAUAGUAUCGUAGGUCCACAGAUGGGAUUAGCUUGUAGGUGGGGUAAUGGCUCACCUAGGCGACGCUCCCUAGCUGGUCUGAGAGGAUGACCAGCCACACUGGAACGGAGACACGGUCCAGACUCCUACGGGAGGCAGCAGUGGGGAAUAUUGCACAAUGGGCGCAAGCCUGAUGCAGCCAUGCCGCGUGUAUGAAGAAGGCCUUCGGGUUGUAAAGUACUUUCAGCGGGGAGGCGUUACCCGCAGAAGAAGCACCGGCUAACUCCGUGCCAGCAGCCGCGGUAAUAC